UACGUAGGGGGCAAGCGUUGUCCGGAUUUAUUGGGCGUAAAGCGCGUGUAGGCGGUCUGGUAAGUCAGUUGUGAAAGUCGGGGGCUCAACCCUCGGAUGCCGGUGGAUACUGUCGGGCUUGAGUACGGAAGAGGCGAGUGGAAUUCCUGGUGUAGCGGUGAAAUGCGUAGAUAUCGGGAGGAACCCCAGUGGCGAAGGCGAUCAUCUGGGGUUGUUCUGACACUGAGGAGCGAAAGCUAGGGGAGCAAACGGG
Molecule: ribosomal RNA, 253 nt
Filed under: uncultured bacterium
Lineage: Bacteria
Description: partial 16S ribosomal RNA
Rfam family: Bacterial small subunit ribosomal RNA
Source: RNAcentral